Molecule: ribosomal RNA, 2283 nt
Filed under: human gut metagenome
Description: bacterial LSU rRNA
Rfam family: Bacterial large subunit ribosomal RNA
Source: RNAcentral
UCAAGUAAGUAAGGGCGUACGGCGGAUGCCUUGGCCAUAUCAGCCGAUGAAGGACGCGAUAAGCUGCGAUAAGCUGCGGUGAGGUGCAAGUAACCUUUGACCCGCAGAUCUCCGAAUGGGGAAACCCGGCGUGAGUAGUCACGUCAUCUUCUAUGAAGAUGGGUACCCGGUGAACUGAAACAUCUAAGUAGCCGGAGGAAAAGGAAUCAACAGAGAUACCCCUAGUAGCGGCGAGCGAACGGGGCAGAGCCCAAACCGGAUUGGGAAACCAGUCCGGGGUUGCGGACUGCUAACAAGUGCAGGCGUGAAGCAGAACCGGUUGGGAAACCGGGCCAGAGAGAGUGAGAGCCUCGUAAGCGCAAGCAAAUGCAUGGAGCAGGAUCCAGAGUACCACGAGACACGAGAAACCUUGUGGGAAGCAGGGGGGACCACCCUCCAAGGCGAAACACUGAUAUGGACCGAUAGCGAAUAGUACCGUGAGGGAACGGUGAAAAGAACCCCGGGAGGGGAAUGAAAGAGAACCUGAAACCGUAUGUCUACAAGCAGUCGAAGCGCUUUAUAUGCGCGACGGCGUGCCUAUUGAAGAAUGAACCGGCGAGUUGCUGGUGCUAGCGAGGUUAAGCAGAAAAUGCGGAGCCGCAGCGAAAGCGAGUCUGAACAGGGCGUAUAGUUAGUAACAGCAGACCCGAAACCACAGUGAUCUACCCAUGUCCAGGUUGAAGCACAGGUAAAAAUGUGUGGAGGACCGAACCAGUGAGCGUUGAAAAGCUUUUGGAUGAGAUGUGGGUAGGGGUGAAAUGCCAAUCGAACGUGGAGAUAGCUGGUUCUCCCCGAAAUAGCUUUAGGGCUAGCCUCAUGGCGAGAGUACAGGCGGUAGAGCACUGAACAGGGUAGGGGCCUAUCCGGCUACUGAACCUAAUCAAACUACGAAUGGCUGUACUUAUCCAUGGGAGUCAGACUGUGAGUAAUAAGGCCCAUAGUCAAGAGGGAAACAGCCCAGACCAACAGCUAAGGUCCCCAAUGCCGUACUAAGUGGCGAAGGAUGUGGAAUUUCAAAAACAACCAGGAUGUUGGCUCAGAAGCAGCCACCAUUAAAAGAGUGCGUAAUAGCUCACUGGUCGAGAGACUCUGCGCCGAAGAUGUCCGGGGCUAAAGUACGGAACCGAAGCUUUGGCAAUUAACUUAUGUUAAUUGGGUAGGGGAGCGUUCCUGCAUGGGAGAAGCCUGACCGGAAGGACAGGUGGACAGGCAGGAAGAGAGAAUGCCGGUAUGAGUAGCGAAAAGAAGGGUGAGAAUCCCUUCCACCGAAAGCCUAAGGGUUCCUGGGCAACGAUCGUCGUCCCAGGGUAAGUCGGGACCUAAUCCGAGGCGGAGACGCGCAGGAGAUGGACAACAGGUUGAAAUUCCUGUACUGGCUGAUUUCGUUUGAGCAAUGGAGUGACACAGGAAGGAAGGCGCGCGUGCGAUUGGAAGAGCACGUCCAAGCAGGUAGGUGGGAAGAUAGGCAAAUCCGUCUUCCCGGAAGCUGAGAUGCGAUGGGGAGCGACUGGAAACAGUCGCGAAGGGGCUGGCACUAAACUGUCGAGAAAAGCUUCUAGUGAGGAAUCAGGCACCCGUACCGAAACCGACACAGGUAGGCAGGAUGAGAAUUCUAAGGUGCGCGGGAAAACCCUCGUUAAGGAACUCGGCAAAAUGUAUCCGUAACUUCGGGAAAAGGAUAACCCGGCGUACGUGAAGUGCAGAAGCGCACGGAGCGGAACCGGGUGGCAGAAGAGAGGCCCAAGCGACUGUUUACCACAAACACAGGCGUCUGCUAAAGCGAAAGCUGAUGUAUAGAUGCUGACACCUGCCCGGUGCUGGAAGGUUAAGAGGAAGUGUUAGCGCAAGCGAAGCAGUGAAUUGAAGCCCCAGUAAACGGCGGCCGUAACUAUAACGGUCCUAAGGUAGCGAAAUUCCUUGUCGGGUAAGUUCCGACCCGCACGAAAGGUGUAACGAUUUGGGCACUGUCUCAACGAGGGACCCGGUGAAAUUGAAGUACCUGUGAAGAUGCAGGUUACCCGCGACUGGACAGAAAGACCCCAUGGAGCUUUACUGUAACCUGAGAUUGGAUUCCGGUAAGAGAUGUACAGGAUAGUUGGGAGGCGGAGAAGCAAGUACGCCAGUAUUUGCCGAGCCGAUGGUGGGAUACCAACCUUGUUUUAUUGGAAUUCUAACGAGAAGUUUAACAGACUUGCGGACAGUCUCAGGCGGGCAGUUUGACUGGGGCGGUCGCCUCCGAAAGAG